UUAAGAGAGUCAUAAUGGUUAUGGAAUUGGCUUGAAACCAGUUUUAGGGGGUUCAAAUCCUUCCUUUCUUGUU
Molecule: transfer RNA, 73 nt
Filed under: Daubentonia madagascariensis (aye-aye)
Lineage: Eukaryota; Metazoa; Chordata; Mammalia; Primates; Daubentoniidae
Description: tRNA-Ser(UCN)
Rfam family: tRNA
About the family: Transfer RNA (tRNA) molecules are approximately 80 nucleotides in length. Their secondary structure includes four short double-helical elements and three loops (D, anti-codon, and T loops). Further hydrogen bonds mediate the characteristic L-shaped molecular structure. tRNAs have two regions of fundamental functional importance: the anti-codon, which is responsible for specific mRNA codon recognition, and the 3' end, to which the tRNAs corresponding amino acid is attached (by aminoacyl-tRNA synthetases). tRNAs cope with the degeneracy of the genetic code in two manners: having more than one tRNA (with a specific anti-codon) for a particular amino acid; and 'wobble' base-pairing, i.e. permitting non-standard base-pairing at the 3rd anti-codon position.
Source: RNAcentral